RNAcentral lists this transfer RNA (76 nucleotides) under Microbulbifer spongiae. RNAcentral's name for it is "Microbulbifer sp. MI-G tRNA-Val". It matches the Rfam family "tRNA". Rfam says of the family: Transfer RNA (tRNA) molecules are approximately 80 nucleotides in length. Their secondary structure includes four short double-helical elements and three loops (D, anti-codon, and T loops). RNAcentral also lists the same sequence under 1 other name. The record is from RNAcentral. Lineage: Bacteria; Pseudomonadati; Pseudomonadota; Gammaproteobacteria; Cellvibrionales; Microbulbiferaceae.
GGGUGGUUAGCUCAGUUGGGAGAGCGGCGGCCUUACAAGCCGUAGGUCACAGGUUCGAACCCUGUACCACCCACCA